Molecule: ribosomal RNA, 253 nt
Filed under: uncultured bacterium
Lineage: Bacteria
Description: partial 16S ribosomal RNA
Rfam family: Bacterial small subunit ribosomal RNA
Source: RNAcentral
UACGGGGGGGGCAAGCGUUGUUCGGAAUUACUGGGCGUAAAGGGCGCGUAGGCGGCCUUCUAAGUCAGACGUGAAAUCCCUCGGCUCAACCGGGGAACUGCGUCUGAGACUGGAAGGCUUGAAUCCGGGAGAGGGAUGUGGAAUUCCAGGUGUAGCGGUGAAAUGCGUAGAUAUCUGGAGGUACACCGGUGGCGAAGGCGGCAUCCUGGACCGGUAUUGACGCUGAGGCGCGAAAGCCAGGGGAGCAAACGGG